RNAcentral lists this unclassified non-coding RNA (88 nucleotides) under Pseudomonas poae. Lineage: Bacteria; Pseudomonadati; Pseudomonadota; Gammaproteobacteria; Pseudomonadales; Pseudomonadaceae. The record is from RNAcentral.
UGUGGGAGCUGGCUUGCCUGCGAUACGGGCGACUCGGUCUUUUCAGUGGCACCGAGGUGAUGCUAUCGCAGGCAAGCCUGCUCCCACA